AUACUUUUAUAAACGUAUUUUGCGAGCAAAACAACCAUUGUGUAUUCACUUGUGACUAGUUCACUUGUGACUAGGGCUGCAAAUAGGUCGGAUUCGGAGUGACCCCGAUCCGACCUAGUUUCUUGUUCGGAUCCUAAUUUUGAACCCAGACCCGACUCGGUUGAAAAUCGAAUCGGAUCGGAUCGGAUCCAUGCCUACAAAUUUUGAUCCGACGGAUCAUUCGGAUUGGGUCGGAUCCGAGUCGGAUCCGGAUCUAUGUAUUUUUAUAUUCAAAGUUUUAUUAUAUAAUAGUAGCAAAAAAAAUGGGUCGGAUUGGGUCCGAAUUGAGAUUGGAUAGAUCCAAUCCGAUCCGAAAAAUAGAACGGAUCCAAAUUUAGGAUCCGAACCAACCCCGCGGAUCCUAAAAUUCGAAUCGGACCAGGUCUUACACGGGUCGGGUCGGAUCAUGGAUCGAUCUGACCCAUUUGCAGCCCUACUUAUGGUAGAACCCAUCCGAAGCUUUUUCGUAUACACAUCGCUGGCCAUUUCCACUAUUCGCGGACCAAAAUACCUCUCACCUUGUCAUCUCAAACUAUGAAAAAGGAGAGAGGAAGUGACAUGAAAAUAUAUGCUAUAUAUGAAAAAAAAUGUGGGGGAAAAAAAAGGAUAGCUUAAGUGGAGAGAGAGAGAGAGAG
RNAcentral lists this long non-coding RNA (674 nucleotides) under Phoenix dactylifera (date palm). RNAcentral's name for it is "long non-coding RNA (PDAC_LNC019185)". The record is from RNAcentral. Lineage: Eukaryota; Viridiplantae; Streptophyta; Magnoliopsida; Arecales; Arecaceae.